Hirundo rustica (Barn swallow) is the source of this 779-nucleotide long non-coding RNA. RefSeq lists it as uncharacterized. The transcript has 3 exons. Lineage: Eukaryota; Metazoa; Chordata; Aves; Passeriformes; Hirundinidae. The record is from RefSeq and is a predicted model, not a curated record.
AGAGAAGAAGGAGAGGGGUUCAAGCUGUUAUCUUUUCUACAGGAAAACUAACCUUUUGUUCUUUGGUUCUAACUUUCUGCUUCACAGAGUUACUUUGCCCAGAAGCACGUUUCCCACUGGCUUCUGUUUUGCAACACUUGUCAUGAAAAACCACUUUAGAAGAGAGGAGCAGGAGGACAGAGGCACAAGACAUGAUGUUUCCUACAGCACAAUAGAAACCUGACUUUUGACAUCCCUGCCAAGAUUUAGUUUUCUCAGUGAUAUCAGUGCUGCUCUCCAUGCAGAGACCCUGGCUAUGGCGAGGAUGCAGGAUGGGUGAACCCACACCCCUGCUCCUCAGAAUACUCCAUCUGGGAAGAUACCAGAGCAUACCACAGAUUCCUCCCUGUCCACAACCCCAGGUUGUUUUUGAAAGGAAACCAAUGCACAUAGGACGAUGACAAGCACACAGAUCUUCUCUUGGAGCUGAGUGAGAAUGAAACAGAUCCUGGUAACAAAACAAUCAGAACUGGGAAGUGAAACAUGAACCACAUCCUCCUGCUCAGCAAGAAUUCAACACGUUCUUUGGGUGUAAUCGAGCUUUUGUGCGUCUGAAUCUGCUAGAGCAGUAGACUAUGCAGAAGAGUGACCAAAGGGAUAACUCGUGGACAAAAGGAAGAGGAGCAUGGAGGAGAAGCCCUUGAUAGACUCUUGUGGUCUAUUCAGACCUCUGCAACAGAGGACUUUCGAAGCACAAAUAAUAUGUGACUCUAUUCUAGAGCUGCAAGAAAAAUACAAAU